Long non-coding RNA from Osmia bicornis bicornis, 3379 nucleotides. RefSeq lists it as uncharacterized. The record is from RefSeq and is a predicted model, not a curated record. NCBI's taxonomy places the organism in Eukaryota, Metazoa, Arthropoda, Insecta, Hymenoptera, Megachilidae. The transcript has 3 exons.
AACAGUUCAGAUCGCAUCGUGUAACAAGGGGAAUUCGUAGCCUCUAAUUGGAGGAGUUUGUGGUGAGCUAAACAAGAUAAACCGAUACAAGUGCCCCGUGAGAUAAGCCGGCUUCGCCUCCGUAAUUGACCAAAUUGAAAAGUGAAGAGCCUUCUCGUAGACGGAUCAUCCAGAUUCCUCAGUUGAUUGCUGAUUCCAGACAGAUAGGGACACUAGCCUGCGAGCAAGGUCCAGAAAACAGCUGGCCCGAGAAGGAAGGUCACCAACCAUGGAAUAUAAUUAGUACGCCACUUAUGGACCGCCAGGCCGGCUAUGGGUCCACAGAAAACAUGCUCGCUACGUGGCACACACGGUGGAAGUACUUGGAAAUCGGCCUUUGUGCGAACACGUGCGAACUCACGGACGACCGUGUUUCCUUCUUCAACUGGGCCUCCUUCCUUCCUCCUGCACGGCCACGAAAGGAACACUGGGAAAUGGUUGACGGACGGUCGGAAAAACUUUCAAGGGGAACCAGCUUUUUUUCUUUUUUCUUUUUUCAGAAACGUUUAACACGUGAAGGCCUUCCUGUUGCUCCCUUUAUCGGACCAUCCAGUUUAUUUAAUCGCUGCAAGCAACGACUCGGCAUUUUCCGCGUACCGCAUAUCGUUUGAAGGAUGUAGCAAUCGUGAGCGCGUAUAAUUAUAUAGCCGCGCGUUAAAGCAUUUGCAUCAGACGCAGAUACAUCGGUUCAAUUCGCUUAAUCAUUGUCAGGGAGGUGGUUAUAUCCGCUCGUAAUAGUUCCAUAUAUAGGAAUAUUUUUCAUAGCAUUAACAUACGCUAUGAAUAUCUUUCAUAGUCGACACUUAUUCGGAAUACGAUUAUUUCCUUCUGAUCGACAUCGGUCUGAAGAAGAGGGAAAAGGAUCCGAUAGAAACCGUGUAUAUCCUUCGAGUCCUUCGAGGAUGCAAAUGGAUUAACCAUAGCGAAAGAUCGUCCAAAGGUUUAAGAAACAACGAAAGAUCGUCCAAUUAACUUUCCGCCUUUUAAUUGAAUCUUAUCCCCUUUCUCGCUCGGUUCGCCCAGUUUCGUCGAGCUUCUCUCCAGUUAAUCGUAAAAGUCAAAAGUUUGCUCGAGAGUAGCUUCGACAAAGGUAAUUGAAAUCUCGAGUACACGGGACGAUUAAUUGCGGCUGAGACGAGGAGCAGAACAUUUCGGCGCACGGGGUCGGCUCGGUUUCUUCGACAGCUUGCAAAUUGCCGCGUCGAGUGGCACCGCCGAAUAUCGUGUAAACAGGGACCGUUGGCGAAUGCUCGUCGAGACACGGGGUAUUCUUUCAAAUUUUUCAGACAAUUCGUUCCACCGAUGGAUGAGAACAAGCCUCUGAUGAAAGAAGAGGAGAAGGAAAAAGAAGAAGAAGAGGAAGACGAAGCAAUUCCUUCGGACGUCGAGACGAAGGUACCCAGGUAUUCUUUUUAAGGCGGGACACUUUACUGCUGCUCGUUCCACGCUGGUAAUGGAGAAUCCCCCAGCCGCCCUGAGGAAUUAAUUCGGGGCUAACGCCGAGACACUCCCCGAUAUCGAGUCACUUUGCUCCCACGAAGCCGGCGUUAGUAUCUCGCUCGCCACCCUCUCGGUUAACUUUUCACCGUACUCUCUUGGCCACUUGGACCCGGACCCGGAACCGACGUUUUUCUUCCUUUUUUGUCCCGUUCACUGGAACGAUUUCUAAUUUACCCUCUAAUUUGCUCGUGAUCCUCGAAUCCGUUUCACUAGGUCAUUUAAAACAGAACCGAAAAAAAAAGGAAGUUUCCGUUACUUCGUACAUUAACCCUGGCCGUGUUUUUGGCCACGGUUUUCGCCAUCAAUUGUAUCUUUAAGCGGUCGCGCUCUUUAUUACCGAGAAUCGUAAUUUCCAAGAUAAACAACAAACUCUUGGCGACGUUCCACGCGAAUUAAGAGUGGCUCGGUAUUGCGGAGCUUUUAAUUAGCCUGAAAAAAAAGAAUCGCCAGAAAGUGGCGGCCUAAAUUUUGCAGUUAAAGCUCGCCGCGUUCGAGUGUGCCGAAUAGUGGCGCGAUUACCGUACCGUUUGAAAAAGAUUUAUCGCUUAAGAAACCGUGUCGUCGUUCAAAGUAGCGAGGAAAUCGAGCGGAACGUACGUUUUUACAAGAUUCUUGGCGCGGUUCCUAGUCCUACCACCCCCUGGUCUCCCUCCCAUUCUAUCGCUCGGCUCCGAGAACAUUUACACAGGAAAAUAUCCAGGUAACAAACAGUUUCAUUAAUCAAGCGUUCGAGCAAUUCGUCUGUUUCUCUGUGCAAUUAGAAGCAACCGGCAUUUAACAAUCCAUCUUUCGCAAAGCGUAUUUUUCUCCCCCUAGGGGUAACGCGGGAACGUCGAAGGAAGGGAAUCGAAAAGGGGCAUCGGCAUCGUGGCCCAGGGUGUCGUCUCCUAGAGCAUCUUUAGCAGCGGACGUACGAAGCGCGCGCAAAAGAGAUGAACGCGAGGACGAGGGCGGCCAGCGUCGAGCGAGAGAGAAUGAGAGGGGAAGAAACGACGACCGGGAAAGAGAGGGAAAUUCAAAGAUGGCGCCACGCAUGUACUCGUGAGAGAGAGUGAGGGGUGACGAGCUACGCGAGAGAGACGGUGACUCUCCGCUUCCUUCCCCUCUCGCUUCAACCACGACUGACCGAGCUGAAAGGUCCGAAUCCGAUCGUCGAAUGGUUCAGUAGUGCGCGAGACACAUUUCGUGUAACGUGUUUCGCUUCCUCUCGCUAUUGGCCGAUGAUUCACGAACGUUGCCGCAAAAUUGACGGAGGAUACACCGCGGACCAAUCCCUGAUUCCGUUACAUCAGCAUCCGACUCCGUGGGUCCUCGACGAUUGGCUCUUUUCGCGGAUGCGUUCGUUGAUGUUUCAUCCGUCGUCGUCGUCGUCUCGAGUGCUGCCCGCUAGUCUCAUGUUUCCUGGUGUUAUACUUUCGACCGGUAUAACGUGCGAAUCGAGUGUGUGUGUGCAAUCGUGCUUCCACGAGAGAUUAACGAGAGAAAGAAACCGGGGACGCGACGUACCCUACGUACCGGGCGAUGAGCCCCAGGGAGAGAAAGAAAGGGCGAGGAGAGAAGGAGAGAAGACACACGGGGUAUUUUGGACGCAGAUCGAUCAGCCGCAGCCGCUCUCCGGUUCGCGCCAUGUGACCGGUCAAAGACCAGUCUCUACGGGAUUGGAGGAUCGAUGGCAGUCGUAGACCCUCGUAAACGUAUUCCAGGGAAUUCGAUGAAGUUUUUUGGUAGCUCGGUGAAGAGGUUUCGUGCCCAAAGCCCCUUAUCAUUCUCCUGUCCGGUGUAGAAUUUUUAGACGACUGGACGGAGAACUGAUAAGGGCCCGAGGGUUACAGAAUCAUCG